ACGCUCGACACCUACGGGAGCAGCAGUAGGGAAUCUUCCACAAUGGGCGCAAGCCUGAUGGAGCAACACCGCGUGAGUGAAGAAGGGUUUCGGCUCGUAAAGCUCUGUUGUUGGAGAAGAACGUGCGUGAGAGUAACUGUUCACGCAGUGACGGUAUCCAACCAGAAAGUCACGGCUAACUACGUGCCAGCACGCCGACGGUAAUCUGAGGCCGGGUCGUGGACGAAGGC
RNAcentral lists this ribosomal RNA (230 nucleotides) under uncultured bacterium. Its description in RNAcentral is "partial 16S ribosomal RNA". It matches the Rfam family "Bacterial small subunit ribosomal RNA", at positions 328 to 538 of the family's 1533-position model. The record is from RNAcentral.